Molecule: transfer RNA, 88 nt
Filed under: Candidatus Nitrosopumilus sp.
Lineage: Archaea; Thermoproteati; Nitrososphaerota; Nitrososphaeria; Nitrosopumilales; Nitrosopumilaceae
Also listed under: 2 other names
Description: Nitrosopumilus sp. tRNA-Leu
Rfam family: tRNA
About the family: Transfer RNA (tRNA) molecules are approximately 80 nucleotides in length. Their secondary structure includes four short double-helical elements and three loops (D, anti-codon, and T loops).
Source: RNAcentral
GGAGGAGUAAUCAAGCCUGGCCAAAGAUGCAGGACUUAAGAUCCUGUCUCUCAGGAGUUCGUGGGUUCAAAUCCCACCUCCUCCACCA